RNAcentral lists this long non-coding RNA (446 nucleotides) under Chloebia gouldiae (Gouldian finch). Its description in RNAcentral is "Erythrura gouldiae (Gouldian finch) lncRNA (ENSEGOG00005013067.1)". The record is from RNAcentral. Lineage: Eukaryota; Metazoa; Chordata; Aves; Passeriformes; Passeridae.
AUGUUCUGACUCAGCUCAAUUGAUCAAAUUAAUUGUGUUUCCAGGCCUCAGCAGCAAUUAAGCGCUACAUGGCGCUGGGCAAUGGCCUGAACGCCACGGCCCUGGAUGCCAUUGGCACCAAGUACGUGUGCCUGCUGAAUGCCACCCAGCUGGAGCCCAUCCACCCCUCCGUCCUCAAAGUGGUAUCUCUGGAUCCUUCAGCCUGUUCCCAGGAGACGAAGAACAUCUUGUACCAGAAAGCCAAAGAAGCUUUCUCUGACCAGCAGCAUUUACCUGCUUAUUAUGAGCUGAUUUUACCUUACCUGGGGGGGGCUCCUGCUGCAGAUCUCAAGGCUCUCAGCAAGAAGGACGUGAACAUGAACGUGAGCACCUUUGUGACUUUGAGAAGAGACUCCGUGAUGGUGAGCUGGCCUUUGGAAUUCUUUCAUUCCCUGCAUUUUGUUGUG